GGCGGCGUGCUUAACACAUGCAAGUCGAACGCGAAAGUUUUCUUCGGAAAGCGAGUAGAGUGGCGCACGGGUGAGUAACGCGUAAGUAAUCUACCCUGGUAUCUGGGAUAACCAACCGAAAGGUUGGCUAAUACCGGAUACGCUGGUAACAGGAAAGGUGGCCUCUUCAUGAAAGCUACUGUACCAGGAGGAGCUUGCGUACCAUUAGCUAGUUGGUAGGGUAAUGGCCUACCAAGGCGACGAUGGUUAGCGGGUCUGAGAGGAUGAUCCGCCACACUGGAACUGGAACACGGACCAGACUCCUAUGGGAGGCAGCAGUGAGGAAUAUUGCGCAAUGGGGGAAACCCUGACGCAGCGACGCCGCGUGGAUGAUGAAGGCCUUCGGGUCGUAAAAUCCUGUCAGAUGGAAAGAAGUGUAUAGAUGUUAAUAGCACUUAUAUUUGACGGUACCAUCAAAGGAAGCACCGGCUAACUCCGUGCCAGCAGCCGCGGUAAUACGGAGGGUGCAAGCGUUGUUCGGAAUUACUGGGCGUAAAGCGCGCGUAGGCGGUUUUAUAAGUCAGAUGUGAAAGUCCACGGCUCAACCGUGGAAGUGCAUUUGAAACUGUGAUACUUGAGUACUGGAGGGGGUGGUGGAAUUCCCGGUGUAGAGGUGAAAUUCGUAGAUAUCGGGAGGAAUACCGGUGGCGAAGGCGACCACCUGGCCAGAUACUGACGCUGAGGUGCGAAAGCGUGGGGAGCAAACAGGAUUAGAUACCCUGGUAGUCCACGCCGUAAACGAUGUCAACUAGGUG
This 794-nucleotide ribosomal RNA is filed under the name uncultured delta proteobacterium. Its description in RNAcentral is "bacterial SSU rRNA". It matches the Rfam family "Bacterial small subunit ribosomal RNA", at positions 38 to 822 of the family's 1533-position model. The record is from RNAcentral. Lineage: Bacteria; Deltaproteobacteria.